RNAcentral lists this ribosomal RNA (638 nucleotides) under Pedinotus vassununga. RNAcentral describes it as "eukaryotic LSU rRNA". It matches the Rfam family "Eukaryotic large subunit ribosomal RNA", at positions 386 to 798 of the family's 3401-position model. The record is from RNAcentral. Lineage: Eukaryota; Metazoa; Arthropoda; Insecta; Hymenoptera; Braconidae.
CCUGAGAAACCCAAAAGAUCGAAUGGAGAGAUUCAUCGUCAGCUCAUAUUGUAUAUGUAUAAUUUAUGAUACGAGUUACCUUUGUUGUAUUGCUUAUACAUAUUUGUACAUUUAUUUGCAAUUUGUUGUCGGCGUGCACUUCUCUCCUAGUAGAACAUCGCGACCCGUUGAGUGUUGGUCUACGACCUAAAUGGUAGACUUUAAUAUUUAAAAGUAUUAGAGACCAUUAUAGUGUAGUCUGACCGGCUGCUCGGCGGUACUCGUACGGUAUUUAGCCGCAUUAUUAUAUGCGUUCAUAUCCGUCGCAAGCGAGGCUAGUUUCUUAGUAGUACGGACAUUGUGCCGUCGCUAGUACUGGCCAGCUGUUGGCUGUAACGGUAUUCUAGAACUGGCUAAAAAAAAAAUAAUAUUACCGGUCGGCRAUGCUACUGCUUUGGGUACUUUCAGGACCCGUCUUGAAACACGGACCAAGGAGUCUAACAUGUACGCAAGUCAUUGGGAUUAUUUUAAAUUAAACCUAAAGGCGUAAUGAAAGUAAAGGUCGUCUUUUAGUCGACCAAGGGAGGAUAAAUUAUAUUAUGAUAUAAUUUCGCACUCCUGGGGCGUCUCAUUCUCAUUACGAGAAGAGGCGCACCUAG